Molecule: ribosomal RNA, 857 nt
Filed under: Metarhizium anisopliae
Lineage: Eukaryota; Fungi; Ascomycota; Sordariomycetes; Hypocreales; Clavicipitaceae
Description: partial large subunit ribosomal RNA
Rfam family: Eukaryotic large subunit ribosomal RNA
Source: RNAcentral
AAGAACCCACCAGGGAUUGCCCCAGUAACGGCGAGUGAAGCGGCAACAGCUCAAAUUUGAAAUCUGGUCCCCAGGGCCCGAGUUGUAAUUUGCAGAGGAUGCUUUUGGUGAGGUGCCUUCCGAGUUCCCUGGAACGGGACGCCAUAGAGGGUGAGAGCCCCGUCUGGUUGGAUACCGAGCCUCUGUAAAGCUCCUUCGACGAGUCGAGUAGUUUGGGAAUGCUGCUCUAAAUGGGAGGUAUAUGUCUUCUAAAGCUAAAUAUUGGCCAGAGACCGAUAGCGCACAAGUAGAGUGAUCGAAAGAUGAAAAGCACUUUGAAAAGAGGGUUAAAUAGUACGUGAAAUUGUUGAAAGGGAAGCACUUAUGACCAGACUUGGCCCCGGUGAAUCAUCCAGCGGUUCCCGCUGGUGCACUUUGCCGGGGUUCAGGCCAGCAUCAGUUCGCUCCGGGGGAUAAAGGCUUUGGGAAUGUGGCUCCCUCGGGAGUGUUAUAGCCCAUUGCGUAAUACCCUGUGGCGGGCUGAGGUUCGCGCUUUAUGCAAGGAUGCUGGCAUAAUGGUCAUCAGUGACCCGUCUUGAAACACGGACCAAGGAGUCGUCUUCGUAUGCGAGUGUUCGGGUGUUAAACCCCUACGCGUAAUGAAAGUGAACGCAGGUGAGAGCCCUCCAGGGCGCAUCAUCGACCGAUCCUGAUGUUCUCGGAUGGAUUUGAGUAAGAGCAUACGGGGCCGGACCCGAAAGAAGGUGAACUAUGCCUGUAUAGGGUGAAGCCAGAGGAAACUCUGGUGGAGGCUCGCAGCGGUUCUGACGUGCAAAUCGAUCGUCAAAUAUGGGCAUGGGGGCGAAAGACUAAUCGAA